UGGCUCGGUUGGUAGAGCAUGGUGUGUGCAACGCCAGGGUUGUGGGUUCGAUUCCCAC
RNAcentral lists this transfer RNA (58 nucleotides) under Salmo salar (Atlantic salmon). It matches the Rfam family "tRNA", at positions 8 to 63 of the family's 71-position model. From Rfam's summary of the family: Transfer RNA (tRNA) molecules are approximately 80 nucleotides in length. Their secondary structure includes four short double-helical elements and three loops (D, anti-codon, and T loops). Further hydrogen bonds mediate the characteristic L-shaped molecular structure. tRNAs have two regions of fundamental functional importance: the anti-codon, which is responsible for specific mRNA codon recognition, and the 3' end, to which the tRNAs corresponding amino acid is attached (by aminoacyl-tRNA synthetases). tRNAs cope with the degeneracy of the genetic code in two manners: having more than one tRNA (with a specific anti-codon) for a particular amino acid; and 'wobble' base-pairing, i.e. permitting non-standard base-pairing at the 3rd anti-codon position. Lineage: Eukaryota; Metazoa; Chordata; Actinopteri; Salmoniformes; Salmonidae. RNAcentral also lists the same sequence under 1 other name. The record is from Rfam by way of RNAcentral.